UAGAUACCCUGGUAGUCCACGCCGUAAACGAUGAUUACUCGUUGCAUGCAAUACACCGUAUGUGACUUAGCGAAAGCAUUAAGUAAUCCACCUGGGGAGUACGUUCGCAAGAAUGAAACUCAAAGGAAUUGACGGGGGCCCGCACAAGCGGAGGAACAUGUGGUUUAAUUCGAUGAUACGCGAGGAACCUUACCUGGACUUAAAUGUAGCGUGACCGUACUCGAAAGGGUAUUUCUCUUCGGAGCAGGUUACAAGGUGCUGCAUGGCUGUCGUCAGCUCGUGCCGUGAGGUGUCGGGUUAAGUCCCAUAACGAGCGCAACCCCUAUUGUUAGUUGCUAACAGGUCAAGCUGAGGACUCUAGCGAGACUGCCACCGUAAGGUGAGAGGAAGGUGGGGAUGACGUCAAGUCAGCACGGCCCUUACGUCCAGGGCUACACACGUGUUACAAUGGUCGGUACAGAGAGCAGCUACUUGGUGACAAGAUGCGAAUCUUUUAAAGCCGGUCUUAGUUCGGAUCGAAGUCUGCAACUCGACUUCGUGAAGUUGGAUUCGCUAGUAAUCGCAUAUCAGCCACGAUGCGGUGAAUACGUUCCCGGGCCUUGUACACACCGCCCGUCAAGCCAUGGAAGCUGGGGGUACCUGAAGUCCGUAACCGUAAGGAUCGGCCUAGGGUAAAACUGGUAACUGGGGCUAAGUCGUAACAAGGUA
Molecule: ribosomal RNA, 708 nt
Filed under: uncultured bacterium
Lineage: Bacteria
Description: bacterial SSU rRNA
Rfam family: Bacterial small subunit ribosomal RNA
Source: RNAcentral